RNAcentral lists this ribosomal RNA (1023 nucleotides) under Cordyceps cateniobliqua. RNAcentral's name for it is "SSU rRNA". It matches the Rfam family "Eukaryotic small subunit ribosomal RNA", at positions 69 to 1104 of the family's 1831-position model. The record is from RNAcentral. Lineage: Eukaryota; Fungi; Ascomycota; Sordariomycetes; Hypocreales; Cordycipitaceae.
GCAAUUAUACAGCGAAACUGCGAAUGGCUCAUUAUAUAAGUUAUCGUUUAUUUGAUAGUACCUUACUACUUGGAUAACCGUGGUAAUUCUAGAGCUAAUACAUGCUAAAAAUCCCGACUUCGGAAGGGAUGUAUUUAUUAGAUUAAAAACCAAUGCCCUCUGGGCUCCUUGGUGAUUCAUAAUAACUUUUCGAAUCGCAUGGCCUUGCGCCGGCGAUGGUUCAUUCAAAUUUCUUCCCUAUCAACUUUCGAUGUUUGGGUAUUGGCCAAACAUGGUCGCAACGGGUAACGGAGGGUUAGGGCUCGACCCCGGAGAAGGAGCCUGAGAAACGGCUACUACAUCCAAGGAAGGCAGCAGGCGCGCAAAUUACCCAAUCCCGAUUCGGGGAGGUAGUGACAAUAAAUACUGAUACAGGGCUCUUUUGGGUCUUGUAAUUGGAAUGAGUACAAUUUAAAUCCCUUAACGAGGAACAAUUGGAGGGCAAGUCUGGUGCCAGCAGCCGCGGUAAUUCCAGCUCCAAUAGCGUAUAUUAAAGUUGUUGUGGUUAAAAAGCUCGUAGUUGAACCUUGGGCCUGGCUGGCCGGUCCGCCUCACCGCGUGUACUGGUCCGGCCGGGCCUUUCCCUCUGUGGAACCUCAUGCCCUUCACUGGGUGUGGCGGGGAAACAGGACUUUUACUUUGAAAAAAUUAGAGUGCUCCAGGCAGGCCUAUGCUCGAAUACAUUAGCAUGGAAUAAUAAAAUAGGACGCGUGGUUCUAUUUUGUUGGUUUCUAGGACCGCCGUAAUGAUUAAUAGGGACAGUCGGGGGCAUCAGUAUUCAAUUGUCAGAGGUGAAAUUCUUGGAUUUAUUGAAGACUAACUACUGCGAAAGCAUUUGCCAAGGAUGUUUUCAUUAAUCAGGAACGAAAGUUAGGGGAUCGAAGACGAUCAGAUACCGUCGUAGUCUUAACCAUAAACUAUGCCGACUAGGGAUCGGACGAUGUUAUUUUUUGACGCGUUCGGCACCUUACGAGAAAUCAAAGU